This 497-nucleotide ribosomal RNA is filed under the name uncultured bacterium. RNAcentral's name for it is "partial 16S ribosomal RNA". It matches the Rfam family "Bacterial small subunit ribosomal RNA", at positions 28 to 507 of the family's 1533-position model. The record is from RNAcentral.
GAGGAAAGCUGGCGGCGUGCCUAAUACAUGCAAGUCGAGCGAACGGACGAGAAGCUUGCUUCUCUGAUGUUAGCGGCGGACGGGUGAGUAACACGUGGAUAACCUACCUAUAAGACUGGGAUAACUUCGGGAAACCGGAGCUAAUACCGGAUAAUAUUUUGAACCGCAUGGUUCAAAAGUGAAAGACGGUCUUGCUGUCACUUAUAGAUGGAUCCGCGCUGCAUUAGCUAGUUGGUAAGGUAACGGCUUACCAAGGCAACGAUGCAUAGCCGACCUGAGAGGGUGAUCGGCCACACUGGAACUGAGACACGGUCCAGACUCCUACGGGAGGCAGCAGUAGGGAAUCUUCCGCAAUGGGCGAAAGCCUGACGGAGCAACGCCGCGUGAGUGAUGAAGGUCUUCGGAUCGUAAAACUCUGUUAUUAGGGAAGAACAUAUGUGUAAGUAACUGUGCACAUCUUGACGGUACCUAAUCAGAAAGCCACGGCUAACUACGUG